UGGGGAAUUUUGGACAAUGGGCGAAAGCCUGAUCCAGCAAUGCCGCGUGUGUGAAGAAGGCCUUCGGGUUGUAAAGCACUUUUGUCCGGAAAGAAAUCCUUGGCUCUAAUACAGUCGGGGGAUGACGGUACCGGAAGAAUAAGCACCGGCUAACUACGUGCCAGCAGCCGCGGUAAUACGUAGGGUGCAAGCGUUAAUCGGAAUUACUGGGCGUAAAGCGUGCGCAGGCGGUUUGCUAAGACCGAUGUGAAAUCCCCGGGCUCAACCUGGGAACUGCAUUGGUGACUGGCAGGCUAGAGUAUGGCAGAGGGGGGUAGAAUUCCACGUGUAGCAGUGAAAUGCGUAGAGAUGUGGAGGAAUACCGAUGGCGAAGGCAGCCCCCUGGGCCAAUACUGACGCUCAUGCACGAAAGCGUGGGGAGCAAACAGGAUUAGAUACCCUGGUAGUCCACGCCCUAAACGAUGUCAACUAGUUGUGGGAUUCAUUUCCUUAGUAACGUAGCUAACGCGUGAAGUUGACCGCCU
RNAcentral lists this ribosomal RNA (524 nucleotides) under uncultured bacterium. RNAcentral's name for it is "partial 16S ribosomal RNA". It matches the Rfam family "Bacterial small subunit ribosomal RNA", at positions 355 to 874 of the family's 1533-position model. The record is from RNAcentral.